This 470-nucleotide ribosomal RNA is filed under the name uncultured bacterium. RNAcentral describes it as "bacterial SSU rRNA". It matches the Rfam family "Bacterial small subunit ribosomal RNA", at positions 18 to 507 of the family's 1533-position model. The record is from RNAcentral.
CCUGGCUCAGGACGAACGCUGGCGGCGUGCCUAACACAUGCAAGUCGAACGGGGUAGCCCUUCGGGACUACUUAGUGGCGAACGGGUGAGUAACGCGUGAGGAACCUGCCUCUCAGUGGGGGACAACAGUUAGAAAUGACUGCUAAUACCGCAUAACAUAUCUCGGGGGCAUCCCUGGGAUAUCAAAGCUUUAUGUGCUGAAAGAUGGCCUCGCGUCUGAUUAGAUAGUUGGUGGGGUAACGGCCUACCAAGUCAACGAUCAGUAGCCGGUCUGAGAGGAUGAACGGCCACAUUGGGACUGAGAUACGGCCCAGACUCCUACGGGAGGCAGCAGUGGGGAAUAUUGGGCAAUGGGGGAAACCCUGACCCAGCAACGCCGCGUGAAGGAAGAAGGCUUUCGGGUUGUAAACUUCUUUAGCAGGGACGAAGAACGUGACGGUACCUGGAGAAAAGCAACGGCUAACUACGUG